This is a long non-coding RNA of Neofelis nebulosa (Clouded leopard), 2655 nucleotides long. RefSeq lists it as uncharacterized. The transcript has 3 exons. Lineage: Eukaryota; Metazoa; Chordata; Mammalia; Carnivora; Felidae. The record is from RefSeq and is a predicted model, not a curated record.
AGGUGUAUAUGCUUGUGGUGCUUCUGACCUGGAAGAGAUCCCAGUGACACGAUCCUCCUGCACUAAUUCCUGAACAAAACGGGGGCCUUGGGUGAAACAGAAGCGGCAGUUUUGAGACGUUAGUUGCUGUGAUCGGCCUGCAGAAAGAGCAGAGGCCAGCAGUCUUUGGAAUUCAGGUUUUGGGCUGUGCGGAGACUGGGGCACUGCCAUGUCCGGAGCCGUUUGACGGGCCUAAGUAAGGGCAUUUAAUGGACUCAGAAAACUAAGCCACAAAAGAUGACAUCUGCACCCACCUCCCACACCAAACAUCAGCAGAAAGUCUUUUCCUGGCCCCUCACCUUUAUUUUAUAAUAUGCCCAAGCUACCAGAAAAUUGCACUUCAAGAGCCAGAAGGAAAGGAGGAGAUGUGGGCCAGAAUUAUAGGUAACCAGGGGAUUCUGUGUGCUUCUCCUGAGACAUUCCUCCUAAGAGUUUGCAACGAAGAUGCUGAGUACGCAGACUGUCACUUCAGCCUUCACCACAUAAUGACAUGGCGUGGUCAGGCGUAUCAUUAGGGCAUGCUACAAAAUGUUGUUUCUUCCUGCCUCAUUCUGGUCUCCCCAAACCUGAAUCGGUAAUUCCAGUGGGUCAGUUCUCCCCAGAAUAGAAGUAUCUCCAGAAGCUGCUGUGUGUUCCCACCACAUCACUGCGAUUACUGCAGUAAGAUUUUGGAGCGGGACCGUCUUGGGUUCAAGUUCUGGCUCCCAUGUGCGACUUUUGACAAGGGGCUUAAUGUCUUUGAGCCUAGAUUUCAUUAUUUAUAAAGUGAGAAUAUCUACCACAUGGCACAUUUAUAAAGAUAAAAGAUCAUGUAUGUACUUCGCAUUAUAAGUAAUACAAAGUAAAUGCUCAAUAAAAUGAUGAUUAGCCUGUGUUUUAUACCUUAAUAUCUGCUCCAACCUCGAUUAUAUGACAUCCUCCUGAUGGGACUGUCAGGAGGAUCCCUUCCCUCUUCAGGCCAGCAUCUCCCUGCUUUUGCCACAGCCCCUGUGUUAAAAAUCUUCAUCAUCAUCACACAUUUUCCCUGCUGAAAAGUUGCAUCACAAUGCUUACUGAACAACUCUCAAAUCCUUGUCUCUCCAUGAAAGUUCUCUGUGCCUUGACUCUUGUUCCCUUUCACUUGUGUCUUUCACUGACAGCAACAUAUGGACACGUGCUGCGUGCCGGGUAUGGUGGACGUAGUGUGAGCAAGACUGCAUCCCUGCAUCCAUGCGGCACAUGUAACCAGCUACAGUCACUACCCAGAGCUCACUGCCCCCCGGGAACACCUCACUCACUUACCCCAUUAAUGAAGGCAUGAAUACUCGUGCCUCGAGUAACAAAUAAGGGCUGCAACGUAGGCAAAGGUGAGGACAGAGAUCCAUCUCAUUGAAGGGAGGGUUCAGAGAGAAGGAAGACAAAUACAAAAAUGGGAAAUCCAGUCUCUGGUUUUAGCUUUAACACUAAUGGGAGUGUGGGGCGAGGUGCUACAGGAGCCAGUGCAGGUAUUUACAGCCAUGCAAGAGUCCCAAUCCAGUAGAGGUGGUUAGAGACGCUUCGCAGACAAAUUGUCAUGAGUGUAGGCCCUGAAAGAUGGGUAGGAUUUCUACAGCAUUCCAACCAGUGGGAAGAGCAUCAAACCAGGCCAGUCACCUUGGCAACCAGGUGUCACAUUACCAUCAGAGAAACUAAUUGUGCAUGUAAUGAUCUUAGGAUUGCUCAGCUACAGGCAUUCUGGUUGUCGAAAAACAGCCGUUCUCAAAUGUUGGUGUCCGUCGGCCUCACCUAGACAGCUAAUGAAUGGCCCAGACUUACUGAAGUAGACCGGUCUUUAGUAAACUUCAGUAAAAAUGGGCCUGAGCCUGUUUUUACCAACUUUCCCAGGUGAUUUUUGAAACACGUUACAUUUGGAGAACCACCGCCUUAAAAACUAAGCCAGUGCUUUUCCAAGUCUGGUCCGUGACCAGCAGCAGCAGCAGCAGCUGGGAGCUGCUUACAAAUGCGGGAGCUCAGAAUCCACCCCAGACCUACUGAAUGAGUAUGUGUGUAUUAAUACUAUAUCCGGGUGAUUCAUGUGGACGCUUAACUGUGACAGGAACUGAUUCAAACAAGUGGCUGUUAACCAGAGUUUCACACUGGAAUCACACUCUGGAAGUUUUAAAAUUUACUGAUACCUGAUCACACCCUCAGAUUCUUACCAUAUUUGUAUGGGCGUGGCCUGGACAUGGGUGAGUCCAAUGGGAAGCAGAGUCUAUAACUCACAGCUCGAAGGAAUUUCCAGGUGUUCAUGAUUCUUUGUAAAUACACCAAAGUAAUAUGGGCUCCUUGAUAUUUUUUCCUUGAUAGUUUUUGUUUUUUUGUGUGCAUAUGUGUAUCCAAAAAUUGGAUUGUACUGCUCACUAAUGGGAUUUUUUUUCACUUACAAUUAUAUCUGGUUAACUUACAUGAUGUAAUAGUUCAUUUAUAUCUCUGUAAGCCUGAAGAAAAAUCUGAUUCGAGAGAAUGAUAAAGCAAUUAUGGUAAAAAAUGGCAAGAUUUGGAGAAGUUAGUGAAAGGUAAAAGGAAAUUCCUUGUACUAAUUUUUACACUUAUCCCUUGAGUUUGAAACUAUUUCAAAAUAAAGAAAAAAACCACAUA